Pelobates cultripes (western spadefoot toad) is the source of this 255-nucleotide non-coding RNA. The record is from the annotation of a GenBank genome assembly. NCBI's taxonomy places the organism in Eukaryota, Metazoa, Chordata, Amphibia, Anura, Pelobatidae.
GAAGUCAUGUUGCUAAGCAACGAUAAACAAACAUAGGAAUAUGCUUAAGUCCAAUCUCCUGGCUGUAUAGGAGAUCAGUAAAUACAAAAAUGAGCAUUUUCUACUCAAUAAAGGUAAAAUUAGAGCCAGGCACCCAAAUAGCAUGGAAACAAAAGAGCGACAUAUAAGAAUACAUCAGCAGGAAUAGCAAUUUACAAGAACCAGAAGGAACCUCCGAUCUAAUGGUGUGUGAACACAAAUACAGUGGUAUUUCCG